UACGAAGGGGGCUAGCGUUGCUCGGAAUCACUGGGCGUAAAGCGCACGUAGGCGGAUGCCUAAGUCGGGGGUGAAAUCCUGGAGCUCAACUCCAGAACUGCCUUCGAUACUGGGAAUCUUGAGUCCGGAAGAGGUGAGUGGAACUGCGAGUGUAGAGGUGAAAUUCGUAGAUAUUCGCAAGAACACCAGUGGCGAAGGCGGCUCACUGGUCCGGUACUGACGCUGAGGUGCGAAAGCGUGGGGAGCAAACAGG
This 253-nucleotide ribosomal RNA is filed under the name uncultured bacterium. Its description in RNAcentral is "partial 16S ribosomal RNA". It matches the Rfam family "Bacterial small subunit ribosomal RNA", at positions 524 to 776 of the family's 1533-position model. The record is from RNAcentral.